GUGCCUGUGGGAUGAACAGGUCCCAACAUUUACUUCCAUUUUUUCACUUUGUCAGCUAAUAGACACAUGUUUAGCUGAUCAUUAAGAUUGGAAAAUGC
Panicum hallii is the source of this 98-nucleotide small nucleolar RNA. RefSeq annotates it as small nucleolar RNA snoR99. Lineage: Eukaryota; Viridiplantae; Streptophyta; Magnoliopsida; Poales; Poaceae. The record is from RefSeq and is a predicted model, not a curated record. The transcript has a single exon.